This is a long non-coding RNA of Hibiscus syriacus, 153 nucleotides long. RefSeq lists it as uncharacterized. The transcript has 2 exons. The record is from RefSeq and is a predicted model, not a curated record. Lineage: Eukaryota; Viridiplantae; Streptophyta; Magnoliopsida; Malvales; Malvaceae.
GAUAGAUAAGGGACUUUAUGCCUAUUAAUAGUAGUAAUGUUGAACAUGUAUAUGUGCCUUUACAUGAUAUACAAGACAAUCAUUGGUUUUUAUUAGUUGUUGAUGUUGUGGAGGGACAUAAUUACGUUUUGGACUCUCUUGGCGUCAAUAAAG